UGUAAAAUAUUAGGACUUUUGCAUGUGCAUCCUACAUUCAUGAAUGCAGAUAUGUGCAUCUACCAGCUAUCUUCGUAACUAUUCACACACUUAAGUUAGUUGUUACGACAUCAGGUGCAGCUUAGAUUCUGGGGUUCAAAACUGGACAAUUUUAACAAGAAAUGGAGAAGAUAUCGAACUGAAUCUCAUGAUUAAUCAGCAGGCAAUGCCAGGCAUCUUUAUAGGAUAUUAUUAAAUUCCACUACCAUUAUGGGCCGUCCAACCAUCAGUACCGAGAACCAGUUACAGAAUUAAACA
Long non-coding RNA from Sitophilus oryzae (rice weevil), 297 nucleotides. RefSeq lists it as uncharacterized. Lineage: Eukaryota; Metazoa; Arthropoda; Insecta; Coleoptera; Curculionidae. The record is from RefSeq and is a predicted model, not a curated record. The transcript has 4 exons.